GACGAACGCUGGCGGCAUGCCUAACACAUGCAAGUCGAGCGAGCUGAUUCCUUCGGGAUGAAGCUAGCGGCGGACGGGUGAGUAACACGUGGGCAACCUGCCUCAUAGAGGGGAAUAGCCUUCCGAAAGGAAGAUUAAUACCGCAUAAGAUUGCAUCUUCGCAUGAAGAAGCAAUUAAAGGAGUAAUCCGCUAUGAGAUGGGCCCGCGGGGCAUUAGCUAGUUGGUGAGGUAACGGCUCACCAAGGCGACGAUGCGUAGCCGACCUGAGAGGGUGAUCGGCCACAUUGGGACUGAGAAACGGCCCAGACUCCUACGGGAGGCAGCAGUGGGGGAUAUUGCACAAUGGGGGAAACCCUGAUGCAGCAAUGCCGCGUGAGUGAUGACGGCCUUCGGGUUGUAAAGCUCUGUCUUCGGGGACGAUAAUGACGGUACCCGAGGAGGAAGCCACGGCUAACUACGUGCCAGCAGCCGCCGUAA
This 478-nucleotide ribosomal RNA is filed under the name uncultured bacterium. Its description in RNAcentral is "partial 16S ribosomal RNA". It matches the Rfam family "Bacterial small subunit ribosomal RNA", at positions 28 to 523 of the family's 1533-position model. The record is from RNAcentral.